Non-coding RNA from Paramisgurnus dabryanus, 188 nucleotides. Lineage: Eukaryota; Metazoa; Chordata; Actinopteri; Cypriniformes; Cobitidae. The record is from RefSeq and is a predicted model, not a curated record.
CAGGCAUUGAUCGACUCGACUUUUGACCAUGGGACAAAAGCAGGGUAAAUUCAUGAUGCAGGUCCUGCCCUUGUCCUGCCUCCUUGUGGCCAUUUGGUGCAAGAAUGCAUCCCAGAUAAAGUAGAUGCUCUGGCUUGUUUUAUGAUCAGACACAAAUUUGCUGAAGCUCGAAAUGAAACUAAAAGGUC